UUAUUUUAAUUUUUAUAGUUUUUUGAAUCAUUUGUGGUUGAUCUUUGAUUGUUUUUGUGUUUUUGUUCGGGUCUAUGCAUGUUUUUCGGGCGAACACUUGAUUUUUAUUUAAAACGCCUAACUCGCCCAAAAACGCCUGCACUUUUAACGGUGUGAUGCGGUUUAUUGGCACCCUUGUAGGAGGAGUUAUUAGGGUGGUAACAUGUUUUUUCAUUAUCUAGAUGAGUGAGCUUAGAAUGAUUAAGCAUAGAUUGAACUUUGAAAUUUGUCUUAAAAAAGUAACAUAUCAUAUAUAUACCAAAAUGCCAACGUUUUUAGGUUAGUUUGAUGUUUUAAAAAAACAAAUGUUGCCUCAUAAAAUCCAACAUCCAUUUUAAAAAACAGGAAACAUAUUUUUUGUUUUUUUAAGAAAAAAUACAGAAUUUAUGUCAAUAUUUCUUUGUGUAUCAAAACUGCAUUGGCCAAACAUGCCCUUCCUACUGAUUAUAUUUAGCAUCAGUUUAAAAUUCAUGGUAUUGUUGUUUAAAAAAAAAAGGUCAAAUUAAGUCCACUUGAGAUAUUUGCAGUAAGUCUGUCUGCAAUAAAACUGUUAUCCACAUUAAUUAGUCAGCUCAAAAUAUACCAUUAAAAUGUCACCUGCAAACUAACUACAGGCGAUUCCACAUCCACAAAAAUUAGUCCACAUGGAAUUUAAUCCAUGUGAAACAAUUCAGUGAUUCUGUAUUGUUAUUCCAUUAAUAUCUUAGUAUUAACUGAUUAACUGUACAGAGUCAAGCAUGGUAUUCCAAUAUUCCUGCAUAUUACUUGAUGAAAAUCAUAUAGGCCAAGGUACUGAUGCCGCAAAACUUUUUUUUAAAUUUAAUUGGAAUGGAGUUCUCCAAUAGACUGGAUGUAAUACAAUUUUCUCAAUAGAUGUGUAGUCUACAAGUCUGUUUAUUUCUGGUUGUCUUUUUUGUGACCAUGUCAACAGAAUUGAAAGCAUUGUUUGGAUCUUUAAGAUAUGCGUUGCAUUAUAAAGCAAAAAAGAACAAAGAAUCAACAAGCAUGUGCAGUUAGUGAGUGACAUACAUCGCUACUUUUUUGCCACAGUGUUUGCAAGUGUUUUGAUUAUGUGUCAAAACCAAUACAUAUGUCUGCAGGCAAAAUUAUUAACAACAAAUCACCAAGCUCAAAAAAUACAGUCAUUUUCCUGAAAUGUGUACUUGAAAAGCAAUUGGCUAUUAAAAAUUGAUAUCAGACCUAUUUGUAUUCAUGAAAACUGCACAUAGUUGUAAUCUAUGGUAUAAAGCCACUAGUACUAGUGAAACAAAUACUCCACAUAAAUCUUUUUCUUUGAUUCGGCCUAAAAAACAGCAAUGAAAAUGCAAUGUGUACCAACAAAGACUUUUCUGUAUAAAGAAAUUUGUUCAAUUAAGUAAAACGAAUUUCCAUUCAUUACUAUCUGCAUGCAUAUAUAGAUGUUUUUUUUUUAUUUAUAUAUUUCUAGCAUUAAAAAAUAAUUAUUUGAGGAAACUUCCCAAAUGUUUCCAUUUAUUACUAUUUGUAGUAAAUGUUUUUAUACUUCCUCUUUUUUCCAACAUUUAGAAAUAAUUAUUUGAGGAAACUUCUUAACUGUUUGUUAAACUUUCACACAAUUAUUUAAAAAGUUAUACAGACUCAUUUUGAACUAAAGGAAAAUGUUUAUUUACUUUAUACAUUCAUUUUACAUGAAGCAGGCUUAUUAAGAAAUAUUUACGUUAUAUUUAGGUUAAAUCUUGACAUGGAUUUUCUGUUUUGCUUUGCUAAAUUGUAUUUUUGAUUAUAUAGGACGAACAGCCAAUUACUGAUAUGAGAAAUCGUAAGAACAAUAUCAAACGGAGAUCCCUACAACGUGAAUUGAAGAAUGAAAUCCACUGGCUGUUAUUGUUAUUGUUUAUAUGAACAAAGAUUGCAGCAAACUUUAUUGACAUUAAGAUAAACAAUAGGCGAAUGCGUUAGCACAAGCAGAACAAGAUUAACAAAUAUGUUCUUGCUUAAUUAGUUUUCUUAUUGACAUUUGGUGUAGUAUACUUAUAAGAUAUACUUAUAUAUGUAUUAUAAGAUGGAACGUAAAUAUCUACGCAAAUGUU
Molecule: long non-coding RNA, 2108 nt
Organism: Hydractinia symbiolongicarpus
Lineage: Eukaryota; Metazoa; Cnidaria; Hydrozoa; Anthoathecata; Hydractiniidae
Exons: 2
Source: RefSeq, a predicted model, not a curated record